Molecule: ribosomal RNA, 886 nt
Filed under: uncultured eukaryote
Lineage: Eukaryota
Description: SSU rRNA
Rfam family: Eukaryotic small subunit ribosomal RNA
Source: RNAcentral
GCCAGCAGCCGCGGUAAUUCCAGCUCCAAUAGCGUAUACUAAAGUUGUUGCGGUUAAAAAGCUCGUAGUUGGAUCUUGGAAUGUGUUCAAGCGGGUCAGCUUCUGGCUGUGCGCUGCUUGACGUGUUCUUCUAUUUGGUUUUGGUGCGGUGCGCUUAACUGCGUGUCGCUCCCGGCCGAAACGUUUACCUUGAAAAAAUUAGAGUGUUCAAAGCAGACCUGUUUGAGUCUGAAUAUUCGUGCAUGGAAUAAUGAAAUAUGAAUUCGGUUCUAUUUUGUUGGUUUUCGGAACUCGAGUUAAUGAUCAAGAGGGACAGACGGGGGCAUUCGUACUCUGCCGUUAGAGGUGAAAUUCUUGGAUCGGCGGAAGACGCGCAACUGCGAAAGCAUUUGCCAAGAAUGUUUUCUUUAAUCAAGAACGAUAGUCGGAGGUUCGAAGACGAUCAGAUACCGUCCUAGUUUCGACUGUAAACUAUGCCAGCUAACGAUCAGACAGAGUUCUCUACGACUUGUCUGGCAGUUUCCGGGAAACCAAAGCGUUUGGGUUCCGGGGGAAGUAUGGUUGCAAAGCUGAAACUUAAAGGAAUUGACGGAAGGGCACCACCAGGAGUGGAGCCUGCGGCUUAAUUUGACUCAACACGGGGAAACUCACCCGGCCCGGACACAGUGAGGAUUGACAGAUUGAGAGUUCUUUCUUGAUUCUGUGGGUGGUGGUGCAUGGCCGUUCUUAGUUGGUGGAGCGAUUUGUCUGGUUAAUUCCGAUAACGAACGAGACUCUGGCAUGUCAAAUAGUCGCGGAAGUGCGUAUGCACUUGCCGAAUUGACUUCUUAGAGGGACUAGUGAUUUUAAUUCACACGAGAUUGAGCAAUAACAGGUCUGUGAUGCC